GACGAACGCUGGCGGCGUGCCUAAUACAUGCAAGUAGAACGCACAGUUUAUACCGUAGCUUGCUACACCAUAGACUGUGAGUUGCGAACGGGUGAGUAACGCGUAGGUAACCUGCCUGGUAGCGGGGGAUAACUAUUGGAAACGAUAGCUAAUGCCGCAUAAUAUUAAUUACUGCAUGAUAAUUAAUUGAAAGGUGCAAUUGCACCACUACCAGAUGGACCUGCGUUGUAUUAGCUAGUAGGUGAGGUAACGGCUCACCUAGGCGACGAUACAUAGCCGACCUGAGAGGGUGAUCGGCCACACUGGGACUGAGACACGGCCCAGACUCCUACGGGAGGAAGCAGUAGGGAAUCUUCGGCAAUGGACGAAAGUCUGACCGAGCAACGCCGCGUGAGUGAAGAAGGUUUUCGGAUCGUAAAGCUCUGUUGUAAGAGAAGAACGGGUGUGAGAGUGGAAAGUUCACACUGUGACGGUAUCUUACCAGAAAGGGACGGCUAACUACGUG
RNAcentral lists this ribosomal RNA (505 nucleotides) under uncultured bacterium. Its description in RNAcentral is "partial 16S ribosomal RNA". It matches the Rfam family "Bacterial small subunit ribosomal RNA", at positions 28 to 507 of the family's 1533-position model. The record is from RNAcentral.